This is an RNA transcript of Temnothorax curvispinosus, 1683 nucleotides long. RefSeq lists it as uncharacterized. The transcript has 2 exons. The record is from RefSeq and is a predicted model, not a curated record. Lineage: Eukaryota; Metazoa; Arthropoda; Insecta; Hymenoptera; Formicidae.
UACAACGAUACAGUUCUGCAAAUACGACCUUUGAGACUAUCCUCAAAUCUGCCCGUGAAUUGCUAAAAAGUCAGCUACAUGCAACUUACAUGACACUUUUUGCCGUGGAAAAAACUAGCGUGGCGCUAUCAGCUUGGAAUAUUUUAACUUGCUAACGUGCUAGCCGACGACGAAAAAAAGUAUGUUAGUUUACCGACGUCUUGAAAUAUGUAUACGGCGCUUUUUUACUACCCAUUAGUGGAACGGCAGGCUUGUGGCCAAUAAAGAAAAACAUUGUGGUAAACCACGCUCUCUUAACUCAUAAAUUACAGUUCUAUUAAAGUAAUCCUGUUGUGCAAAACUGCAACAUUUGUGUGUGAUAUCUGUGAUAAAUUUAAAUCUUUCAAUUGCUCACAACUCAUAAAUUAUUCAGCCUAUAGUUUGCCGAGGAAGAUAGAUCGAUAUUAAUGAAGACGGAAUACUUUGCAUAAUACAAUGAAACUCGUAUAACGCGAUAAUAUAAUAUUUAAUGAGCGGUCCGCGGCGGCGGCGGCGGCGUGUUACAGACGGACUCCUGUAAGCGCGAUACUCAUUGUCAGUGGUGUAUGUAUUAUUACGGCCGCCAACUGAAUUCUUAAAGCCGAUAACGGGUUAUAAAUGCGUCGCACCUAGUUUCAUCCAUUUGCGCUUUCAUACGAUAUUCAAGAAACGUGCUGAAGUAAAGGAAAGGUCGCGGGCAUCGCGAUGGGAAGUGCCGCAAAAUCCGCCGCAGCGCGAACACCGGGCGGAGAAUAAUAGCGAAUAAAGUGAGUUAAAGUUCGUCUCCCGCAACAAAGCUAAUUUCCCGUUCGCGUGUCUCGACUGUUUCAUUCGCGCGCUCCAGGACGGACUUAUUUGUUGCUUCCGUUUCACCCCGUUUUGCACCGCGUUUUAUCUUGGGUGGGUGACAAAUAAAAAGAGGGAGAGAGAGAGAAAGAGAAAGGAGAGGGGACAGAAAGAAGGAACCACGCUUUUGACCCUCUCGGGAGUUACAUAGGCUAUUAGUGUUACGAGCGGUAAAGUGCAGUUUCCUUUCUGGCAAAAGGCGAUUUGCACGAAUUACCGAAGCGGUAAGACCAGGAAGGACGUAUCUGCAGUUCGCCAACUUCUUCUCGGGAGACGAAUGUCCCCUAACGAUCUUCCCAACGAAAAACGAUCGCUUCGACCACUUUAGAGAGUUAGGCAACACCCGAAAACCGAAAACUCUUUGGAGGCCUUAUCUUUCUUUCGACUGCAUAAGUUAAAGAUCGACAAAUCGCUGGGAUCCCAUCCGAGGAAAAUCAAGAGGCAGGGAGCCCCAUUCUACGGGCGACGAUGGCUCGACGCCACCAAUUUCGGGAUUACGGUGACAGUAUACCACGGAAAAUCUGGCCGUUUCUCUGCGCGAGAUUCAACUCGGGGCGACUCGUCACAAAUUCCGCGAAAUUAUCGUCGAAAACGCGCAGCUGAAUCUCCACCACGACCAUCUCUCCUCUUCCUUCUUUAGCUCCUUUUUUUACCCGUUGCUUUCAAUUAAAACGAGUCUCCACUAGAACUGUUCAUGUUGCUUUUUCGCAUUCGCGACGUCGCAAGUAUCUCUCGUGAAAGCGGAUGGUUUUACGCGGGAUGAUUUAUGCCUGUGCCCAUCAUCUGAUAUGAUUUUAAAGUACAUAUAUGAUUUAAAGA